AAUUAAAAGCAGAAGUGGUACCAUAGCCAGUGAGAGUUAUCUGAGGUGUGGUUAUUGCUAGAUGAAAGCUACUUUAUAUACUCAUGUAAAAGUCGAAUUUUUUAGACCAUUUUUUAGGGUCAAAUUUAUGG
Molecule: non-coding RNA, 131 nt
Organism: Octopus bimaculoides (California two-spot octopus)
Lineage: Eukaryota; Metazoa; Mollusca; Cephalopoda; Octopoda; Octopodidae
Source: Rfam